RNAcentral lists this ribosomal RNA (437 nucleotides) under Ethmostigmus coonooranus. RNAcentral describes it as "partial 16S ribosomal RNA". It matches the Rfam family "Bacterial large subunit ribosomal RNA", at positions 1928 to 2600 of the family's 2925-position model. The record is from RNAcentral. Lineage: Eukaryota; Metazoa; Arthropoda; Chilopoda; Scolopendromorpha; Scolopendridae.
UGGCCGCGGUAUUUUGACCGUGCGAAGGUAGCAUAAUAAAUAGUCCAUUAAUUAUGGUCUGGAAUGAAUGGUUUGACGGAAGCUAGCUUUCUUAUAAUUAUAAAUGAACUUAAAUUGUUAGUAAAAAUGCUAAUAUGUUUUAGGGGGACAAGAAGACCCUAUAGAGCUUUAUAUUAUGCUUAUAUUGUUUGGUAAGUUUAGUGAGCAGGUAUUUUGUUGGGGCGACAUUAAAUAUUAAACAUUUAAUUUUUAUUCUUUUUAAAAGGUUUAAUGAUCCAUUAAUAAUGAUUUAAGACUAAGUUACCUUAGGGAUAACAGCGUAAUUUUGUUGUAGAGUUCUUAUCGAUAACAAAGUUUGCGACCUCGAUGUUGGAUUAAAAUAUCUGUAAGGCGUAAGAGUUUUAUAAGAUGGUCUGUUCGACCGUUAAAAUUUUACA